AUCGUUCACGUAGCUUAACUAAAGCAUAACACUGAAGCUGUUAAGAUGGUCCGUAAAAGCCCCGUGGACA
Molecule: transfer RNA, 70 nt
Filed under: Acanthopagrus berda
Lineage: Eukaryota; Metazoa; Chordata; Actinopteri; Spariformes; Sparidae
Description: transfer RNA-Phe
Rfam family: tRNA
About the family: Transfer RNA (tRNA) molecules are approximately 80 nucleotides in length. Their secondary structure includes four short double-helical elements and three loops (D, anti-codon, and T loops). Further hydrogen bonds mediate the characteristic L-shaped molecular structure. tRNAs have two regions of fundamental functional importance: the anti-codon, which is responsible for specific mRNA codon recognition, and the 3' end, to which the tRNAs corresponding amino acid is attached (by aminoacyl-tRNA synthetases). tRNAs cope with the degeneracy of the genetic code in two manners: having more than one tRNA (with a specific anti-codon) for a particular amino acid; and 'wobble' base-pairing, i.e. permitting non-standard base-pairing at the 3rd anti-codon position.
Source: RNAcentral